This is a non-coding RNA of Heterocephalus glaber (naked mole-rat), 4064 nucleotides long. NCBI's taxonomy places the organism in Eukaryota, Metazoa, Chordata, Mammalia, Rodentia, Bathyergidae. The record is from RefSeq and is a predicted model, not a curated record.
CCCGGAAGGCGACAGGCGGACGCGUGUGCUCGGGCCUGGGCGUCCACGCACUCACCGCCCGCACUGCAGAGCGCGGGAAAAGCUACUGCACCAACUCGUUUAUUCCGACAUUCCUCUGAAACCAGUUUAAAAAAUUGCCAUUCACCGGAAUGUGACGUGAUUUCCUUGUGGGAUCUUUCGUUGUAACGUGGGUCCUGCAGGGCCUGUGAAAGGUCAAGUGACAGAGACACGGACGCAGAGCGGGGCCCCUGGCCCGGGGUGCAGCACGGAGUGCCAGCGGAGCUGCUCAGGCGCGCGGCAGAGUGCAGCGGCCCUGCCCUUCCGUGAGGGAACCAGCCUCGGCGUGCCAGCGGGUGUUCCAGGGACCCGGGAACCCGAGAUGGACCUGGAGAUGCUCGCAAAGAUGCCUGAUCAAUGCGGCGGGGUUUGCACCAGGCCCAGAAUCUCCGAGGCAGAGAAACCACUGACCUUGGCCACAGCUGCACAGACCCGGCCGAUGGACCCAGGCCGUCCCAGGAGAGUGGGAGAAGAGAAGAGAAAUGUGGGGAGAGAGGCACCAGAAGGGACAGGGGCUGGCCGGGGAGGUGCGGCCCCAGCUGACAGCAAGGUCGCCGUGUGCUGCCAGGGGAAGGCAGGGUGGGCAGGCAGGACUAUGUCCCUCCGCCACCUGUGGGAAGCCCCUCAGGCUCUGCUACUGGAGAGGAACACAGGAGAAAUGGGGACAGCCGAGUUCAGUCACCAAAAGGCCGCUGACAGGAUACCGAGAGCAUCAGAAAACCACUGGACAAUGAAGCAGAGAGACCAGAGAGCUCCGCACGGCAUUUCCAUGAGGACUGUUAGAAGGGAUACACAGGGAGAGAAGGUCCAGAAGAAACCAUGAAUACCUUGUUAUUCAAAGGGGAAGUGGGCUGUAUCAGUAACAUUGAGGGUACCGCAGAGAAGUCUGGGAAAUAGCCAUGACAGAUGUGAGAGUCACAUGUCACACUGCGAUGGGCAGAUGAGUUCUCCUCGUCCUUCCAUAGACCAAGCCAUGCAAGGAUACUGAGCCUAAAAUCUUUGAAGGGCUUUAAAAAAGGAUCCCACUGAUUGGGUGACACAAAGUUACAAUAGAGACAUCUUAGCGCUAUUUUAUCACUGAAAAUAGAAGCAGAAAGUAUUCAGAUAUUCCCUUACAGAAUUUAUUUGCUAGAUCAUUUAUCCACUAUACAUGUUUAAUGCAUAUGCAAUAAUGGCCAAAUAACAAGUAGGCAGUGCUUACUCUGUGACGGUCCCUGGAAAAGUCUUUGCAGUACUUUUCGGUACACAGAUCUUUAGUCAGCAUCUGGGCUGCUUCUAGGUUCACUGGAUUUUCUGUCCCUGGGUUAGAAAGCAUAACCUAAAGGAAAAUGUAGACAACAGACCCAAGUGUUUAAAGUAAUCAUUUUCUUGUGUAGUAAAAGACAAAGCAAUCCACACAACUCUUGAUGAACAUUUAUUACAUGUCUACAGUGUACAGACCUAGAGAGAGAAAGAUGAGGUGGAAUCUUCGCUUUCAAGACACUCUGGGCCCAUCUGGUUUUUAUGCUGUAUAUUCAUGACCGAACACCCGAAUCAAAACAAGUUAAAAGUUUUUUCCUGUAUUAUCCCUUCCUAUCAUAUCAAUUUAACUUGGAUUAUAUGCAAAAAGAACUAAACGUUAGGGAACAAUGACAGGUUCCCACUAUAUAGGUUAAAAAAUAAAGCAUUUUCACUCGACAGUACAUUAGAGCACUGAUAAACAAAGACAUACUGCUGGGGAUUUAGCUCAGUGGUUUCGCUGCCUGCUGCGCAAGCGCAAGGACCCGAGUUCGAUCCUCAGUACCAAAAAACCCAAAAAAACAAAGACAUACUGAGGGGCCCAGACAAUGAAUAUCUGCAGGGGUUUCCUACUGCUACAGUAACUAGUCACCGUGCACUUAGCAGCUUCAAUCAACACAAAUGUAUUAUCUCACAUAUGGGUAUGCAGAUUCUGGGGCAGAUGGCUGUGGUUGUGUUUGUCACCUGAUGUGGAGUUUGUGAACAGAAGUAGGAUUUUGCCAAAUGCUUCUGUUUUCAAACCGUUUGUGAACUGUUUGUAUUACUGUGUCCAGCACCCCAAAAUGCAAAUAUUUAUGCAAUAAUCCAGUAUUUUCAACAUCAUAGUUAUGUCAUGAAAAUUAUGUAAUAUUGUUAAAACUACUACUGUAUGUGUUACUACUGUGAUACCUAAAUAUAGGUGCAGGUAAAGCGGAAAAUUGUGGUAAGUUAUGGAAAUUAUGUCACUAGUGAAAGCAAUCGUCUGACUUCGGAAAUCUCAAAAGCAACCAGGAUUUUCUGGUGUUACUUGAGUUCUCCUGUGUGGAAGACACAUUUAGACUAUUUUCCCAAGAACGUUAUAAUUGCUUAAAUUAAGGUUCAGCGCAGUUGCUCUAACUCUUUCCAAGUGGGUGAGGCGCAGAUGAAACGUAUCUUCAAGAGCAAGCGUUUGUUCUGUCUGGAGAGUGUCUCACAGACAGGCACAUCCAGUAAGGGUUAUUUUACUGUUUUCUCGUGAGCCACUGUGCCUAUGACCUAGUCAUAGAAUGUGUGUACAAGCCAGUUCAUGGAUUUGAUACUUUAAAGAAUUGGUACACAAGUCUAUUAAAUUGUAUAAAUAAGUCAUCUUGCUGAAAUAAUAAACAUAAAAGGGUUCAACUUUUAAGUUAGCUAUGUAGUAGUAUAAAAUACUAAAAAGCUCUUCAGAGGACAAACAGAAAAAUCUGAAGCUUCAGUUAACAACCACACCAGUAGAUAUAUUUUAUAAUACCUAAUUAAUUAUGGCCUAUAGAUUUGGGAUUCCUUCUGUGGAUUUGUGUUGAUGUGUACAUUUGCAUUCUAUGUGAAAUAACAGGUUUUCAAAGAAAUUCUUAAAACCGUUUGGUAGAGAGGAUGAAAAUAUUUUAAACAACUUUGUAAGUACCAUCUUCUUGUAACAGUAUGAUGACCAGAAAUGUGUCUCACUGACUGUUCAAAAGGAAGCAGUGGGGAAUCACGCCCUGUACCUGAGUCAUCCAUCCCACGAGGCACUGGCCAAGGUGGUGAUAUCGAUCUCUUAAACAAAGUGGACAUUCCCAGACCUCAGUGGCAAUGUGUGACUGACCAGUAGCUACUACACUGGACAGUGUGAGAGUGGACAUUUCCUUCGGUACAGAACAUCCUUCUGGGCAGCAGUGACCUCCAGAGAACUACUGAAUAGCCACUGAGAUACUGACUGUAGCCAAGUGGAAAUUACUAGAGAUAAAAUGUUAAGUGUAAUAUAUAUAUAUAUAUAUAUAUAUAUAUAUAUAUAUACACACACACACACACACACACACACAUAUCUCCGCUGGAGCUAUAGACCCAAACCCAGGCGAGUCUUAGAAGUUAAAUAACAUUCAGUCCAGUUCUCCAUCAGACCGUCACCCAUUUCCUGUAGUUUGUACAUAGAGUUAGAUAUAGAGAUAGAUAUUCAUUAAAAUUGCAACACAAUAAAAAUUCAGGUUUAUUCAUUCAUUUACUUUUUUUAGUACCUACCAAAUGUUGCAUUGUCAUGGGUAGGUGGUGGGAAUUCAAAGAUUAAUUAGAUCUGUUUCCUGACCUCAGGACCUGGUAGUCCAGCAGGAGAUGGAAGACAAAGGGAUGGAUAGGUACACUGGAGUUUGAGCUGGAUUAAAGCAAGCAAUGUGUGCAUGAGAAUGCCUCAAGCCCAGAUGUGAGACGCUGAUCGUGAGCAUGUGAGGACCUUGGACUUGAUCCUGCAGCCAGUGAGGGAACGGAUGCAGGAUUUAAACAGACAUCCAGGAGAAGAGGUCAGAGGGAAUGCUAAUAACAGUAGGGUGAGGGCUUUCUUCAAGGAUUGUCAGUGAUUUUCUUUUACAUUCUGUAAAAAUCAUCUGUGAGUUGCACAUAUUUGUCUCAUUCACAUAUUUGAAAUACAUAGAAAAACACAAACAACUGUGUGCAUCGCCUCUUGGCUUUCCAUGAUAUGUUUGGCAACAUUUUGUGGUCGCUGUCACAGUGUUAAUAGUAAAAACAACUGUAACCAAUCA